This 1287-nucleotide ribosomal RNA is filed under the name Cytospora sp. RNAcentral's name for it is "partial large subunit ribosomal RNA". It matches the Rfam family "Eukaryotic large subunit ribosomal RNA", at positions 76 to 1393 of the family's 3401-position model. The record is from RNAcentral. Lineage: Eukaryota; Fungi; Ascomycota; Sordariomycetes; Diaporthales; Cytosporaceae.
UGCCCUAGUAACGGCGAGUGAAGCGGCAACAGCUCAAAUUUGAAAGCUGGCUCCGGCCCGCAUUGUAAUUUGCAGAGGAUGCUUCUGGCAAGGUGCCUUCCGAGUUCCCUGGAACGGGACGCCACAGAGGGUGAGAGCCCCGUAUGGAUGGACACCAAGCCUGUGUGAAGCUCCUUCAACGAGUCGAGUAGUUUGGGAAUGCUGCUCAAAAUGGGAGGUAAAUCUCUUCUAAAGCUAAAUACCGGCCAGAGACCGAUAGCGCACAAGUAGAGUGAUCGAAAGAUGAAAAGCACCUUGAAAAGGGGGUUAAACAGUACGUGAAAUUGUUGAAAGGGAAGCGCUUGUGACCAGACUUGUGCCGGGCGGCUCAUCAGGGGUUCUCCCCUGUGCACUCCGCCCGGCUCAGGCCAGCAUCGGUUCUCGUGGGAGGAUAAGAACGGUGGGAACGUGGCCCCCUCUCGGGGGGGUGUUAUAGCCCACCGUACGAUACUCUCGUGGGGACCGAGGUUCGCGCUCCGCAAGGAUGCUGGCGUAAUGGUCAUCAGCGACCCGUCUUGAAACACGGACCAAGGAGUCGUCCAUUAGAGCGAGCGUUUGGGUGUAAAACCCGCACGCGUAAUGAAAGUGAACGCAGGUGAGAGCUUCGGCGCAUCAUCGACCGAUCCUGAUGUCUUCGGAUGGAUUUGAGUAAGAGUUUUAACGGACGGACCCGAAAGACAGUGAACUAUGCUUGUAUAGGGUGAAGCCAGAGGAAACUCUGGUGGAGGCUCGCAGCGGUUCUGACGUGCAAAUCGAUCGUCAAAUAUGAGCAUGGGGGCGAAAGACUAAUCGAACUGUCUAGUAGCUGGUUACCGCCGAAGUUUCCCUCAGGAUAGCAGUGUUGUUCUUCAGUUUUAUGAGGUAAAGCGAAUGAUUAGGGACUCGGGGGCGCUUAUUAGCCUUCAUCCAUUCUCAAACUUUAAAUAUGUAAGAAGCCCUUGUUACUUAAUUGAACGUGGGCAUUCGAAUGUACCAACACUAGUGGGCCAUUUUUGGUAAGCAGAACUGGCGAUGCGGGAUGAACCGAACGCGGGGUUAAGGCGCCAGAGUGUACGCUCAUCAGACACCACAAAAGGCGUUAGUACAUCUUGACAGCAGGACGGUGGCCAUGGAAGUCGGAAUCCGCUAAGGACUGUGUAACAACUCACCUGCCGAAUGUACUAGCCCUGAAAAUGGAUGGCGCUCAAGCGUACCGCCCAUACCCCGCCCUCAGGGUAGAAACGAUGCCCUGAGGAGUAGGCGGCCGUG